RNAcentral lists this ribosomal RNA (305 nucleotides) under uncultured bacterium. RNAcentral's name for it is "bacterial SSU rRNA". It matches the Rfam family "Bacterial small subunit ribosomal RNA", at positions 337 to 653 of the family's 1533-position model. The record is from RNAcentral.
GCCUACGGGGCGCAGCAGUCGAGAAUCAUUCACAAUGGGGGAAACCCUGAUGGUGCGACGCCGCGUGGGGGAAUGAAGGUCUUCGGAUUGUAAACCCCUGUCAUGUGGGAGCAAAUUAAAAAGAUAGUACCACAAGAGGAAGAGACGGCUAACUCUGUGCCAGCAGCCGCGGUAAUACAGAGGUCUCAAGCGUUGUUCGGAAUCACUGGGCGUAAAGCGUGCGUAGGCUGCUUCGUAAGUCGUGUGUGAAAGGCGCGGGCUCAACCCGCGGACGGCACAUGAUACUGCGAGGCUAGAGUAAUGGG